This 65-nucleotide transfer RNA is filed under the name Epiophlebia superstes. Its description in RNAcentral is "tRNA-Arg". The record is from RNAcentral. Lineage: Eukaryota; Metazoa; Arthropoda; Insecta; Odonata; Epiophlebiidae.
AAAUAAGAAGCGAACAAUUGCAAUCAGUUUCGGCCUGAUUCUUGGUGCUAAUACACCCUUAUUUA